Molecule: ribosomal RNA, 468 nt
Filed under: uncultured bacterium
Lineage: Bacteria
Description: partial 16S ribosomal RNA
Rfam family: Bacterial small subunit ribosomal RNA
Source: RNAcentral
GACGAACGCUGGCGGCGUGCUUAACACAUGCAAGUCGAACGGAAAGGCCCUGCUUUUGUGGGGUGCUCGAGUGGCGAACGGGUGAGUAACACGUGAGUAACCUGCCCUUGACUUUGGGAUAACUUCAGGAAACUGGGGCUAAUACCGGAUAGGAGCUCCUGCUGCAUGGUGGUGGUUGGAAAGUUUCGGCGGUUGGGGAUGGACUCGCGGCUUAUCAGCUUGUUGGUGGGGUAGUGGCUUACCAAGGCUUUGACGGGUAGCCGGCCUGAGAGGGUGACCGGCCACAUUGGGACUGAGAUACGGCCCAGACUCCUACGGGAGGCAGAAGUGGGGAAUAUUGCACAAUGGGCGGAAGCCUGAUGCAGCAACGCCGCGUGCGGGAUGCCGGCCUUCGGGUUGUAAACCGCUUUCGCCUGUGACGAAGCGUGAGUGACGGUAAUGGGUAAAGAAGCACCGGCUAACUACGUG